This 1259-nucleotide ribosomal RNA is filed under the name metagenome. RNAcentral describes it as "bacterial LSU rRNA". It matches the Rfam family "Bacterial large subunit ribosomal RNA", at positions 1635 to 2912 of the family's 2925-position model. The record is from RNAcentral.
AGAUAGACCGUACCCGAAACCGACACAGGUGGAAUGGUAGAGAAUACCAAGGCGCUUGAGAUAACUAUCCUGAAGGAACUCGACAUAUUGCAUCCGUAACUUCGGAAGAAGGAUGCCCCAUUUGUAGGCAACUAUGAAUGGGGGGCACAAACCAGGGGGUUGCGACUGUUUAUCAAAAACACAGGGCUCUGCGAAAUCGCAAGAUGACGUAUAGGGUCUGACGCCUGCCCGUUGCUGGAAGGUUAAAUGGAGGAGUUAACGCUCUGAAAUGAAGCCCCAGUAAACGGCGGCCGUAACAAUAACGGUCCUAAGGUAGCGAAAUUCCUUGUCGGGUAAGUUCCGACCUGCACGAAUGGCGUAACGACUUCCCCAUUGUCUCCAGGGUAGACUCAGUGAAAUUGAAUUCGAGGUUAAGAUGCCUCGUACCCGCGGUUAGACGGAAAGACCCUAUGAACCUUUACUAUAGCUUCGCAGUGGCAAUACGACCGCAAUGUGUAGCAUAGGUGGGAGACUUUGAAGCCGGAGCGCCAGCUCUGGUGGAGUCUUUAGUGAAAUACCACCCUUUGCUUUUGUGUUGUCUAACUUCGCACCGUUAUCCGGUGCAAGGACCCUGCGUGGUGGGUAGUUUGACUGGGGCGGUCGCCUCCCAAAUUGUAACGGAGGCGCGCGAUGGUUGGCUCAGGACGGUCGGAAAUCGUCCAUUGAGUGCAUUGGCAUAAGCCAGCCUUACUGCGAGACUGACAAGUCAAGCAGUUACGAAAGUAGGUCAAAGUGAUCCGGUGGUUUCCGCAUGGAAGGGCCAUCGCCCAACGGAUAAAAGGUACUCUAGGGAUAACAGGCUGAUAGCGCCCAAGCGUCCACAGCGACGGCGCUGUUUGGCACCUCGAUGUCGACUCAUCUCAUCCUGGGGCUGUAGAAGGUCCCAAGGGUAUGGCUGUUCGCCAUUUAAAGAGGUACGUGAGUUGGGUUCAGAACGUCGUGAGACAGUUCGGUCCCUAUCUGCCGUGGGAGUUGGAGUCUUGAGAGGAUCUGCCCUUAGUACGAGAGGACCGGGGUGGACGUACCUCUGGUGUACCUGUUGUCGCGCCAGCGGCAUAGCAGGGUAGCUAUGUACGGACUAGAUAACCGCUGAAAGCAUCUAAGCGGGAAACUAACCUCAAUACCAGGACUCCCUAUCAGAGCCGUGGAAGACCACCACGUUGAUAGGAAGGGUGUGGAAGAGCAGUAGUGCUUGAAGCUUACCUUUACUAAUUGCCCAA